CUCUUAUAAACGGUCCUUUUCAGGGCCAUCAAUAUUUUACAAAAAGAUUCUACUUUUGUUGUAUAUUCGAGAAAAUCGAACACAAAUGUAUUUUCAAACGUCAGUCUGUGUGUUAUGUUAAAACUAUAGACUAGUAAGUGUUCGAAAUGAACUUCCACUGUUAGUUCGGUAUAAUAAAACAAUUGUGGCCCCUUAGAAUCGAUGAAUAUCCAAAAUUGUCA
This 221-nucleotide long non-coding RNA is filed under the name Mytilus galloprovincialis (Mediterranean mussel). The stretch from base 7 to 51 matches the Rfam family "Histone 3' UTR stem-loop". The record is from RNAcentral. Lineage: Eukaryota; Metazoa; Mollusca; Bivalvia; Mytilida; Mytilidae.